CGGUAAUUCCAGCUCCAAUAGCGUAUAUUAAAGUUGUUGCGGUUAAAAAGCUCGUAGUCGAAUCUGUGUCCCGCGCCGCCGGUUCAUCGCUCGCGGUGUUCAACUGGCGUGUCCGCGGGACGUCCUGCCGGUGGGCGGCACGUUUACUUUGAACAAAUUAGAGUGCUUAAAGCAGGCUAAAACUUAGCCUGAAUACUGUGUGCAUGGAAUAAUGGAAUAGGACCUCGGUUCUAUUUUGUUGAUUUUCGGAACCCCGAGGUAAUGAUUAAUAGGAACGGAUGGGGGCAUUCGUAUUGCGACGUUAGAGGUGAAAUUCUUGGAUCGUCGCAAGACGGACAGAAGCGCUUUCAUUGAUCAAGAACGAAAGUUAGAGGUUCGAUAAACGAUGCCAGCUAGCGAUCCGUCGACGUUCCUCCGAUGACUCGACGGGCAGCUUCCGCGAAACCAAAGCUUUUGGGUUCCGGGGGAAGUAUGGUUGCAAAGCUGAAACUUAAAGGAAUUGACGGAAGGGCACCACCAGGAGUGCAGCCUGCGGCUUAAUUUGACUCAACACGGGAAACCUCAUCAGCCCCGGACACCGGAAGGGUUGACUGAUUGAGAGCUCUUUCUUGAUUCGGUGGGUGGUGGUGCAUGGCCGUUCUUAGUUGGUGGAGCGAUUUGUCUGGUUAAUUCCGAUAACGAACGAGACUCUAGCCUGCUAACUAGGCGUAUUUUCGACAUCUCAAAGGUCCGUCGUCCCGGCCCUCGGGUCGUGGGCGUGCGCGAUUUUUACUGUCGGCGUACUAUCAAUUCUUCUUAGAGGGACAGGUGGCUUCUAGCCGCACGAGAUUGAGCAAUAACAGGUCUGUGAUG
Molecule: ribosomal RNA, 852 nt
Filed under: uncultured eukaryote
Lineage: Eukaryota
Description: SSU rRNA
Rfam family: Eukaryotic small subunit ribosomal RNA
Source: RNAcentral